CCGGAAAUAUAAUCUGUCGAAUCCCGGAUACCCACUGUGUCAGAAAAAAAAAAAAAGUAGAAAGAUGGAAAACACAUAGUACAACAUGUAUUUGAAAGGAAUAAUAGAUGAGGGAAUUUGAAAGUGGAACGAGAGAUCUCACGAUCAUUUAAUUAACGUGUAAGUUGAUUAAUUGGAGAAUCAUUGUUGCUUUUGUUUUGAAAUUUCAUUUCAUGAUGUUAGUCUGCAUUGCCAUGCGUUUUUGACACCCAGAGAUAAAUAAAUAAAAAGAAAGAAUUACACACUUUGUUUGCUAUAUCCAUCAGCAAUUAAAUUACGGCAUGUUGUAUUAAUUUUUAACUUAGUUUUAAGGAAUAUAUGAGAAUAGGGGAUAUGUCUCAAUUUCCUCUCAUCUUUAUCAAACAAAAAUAAAACUAAUCAACUUUCGCUGAAUGCUUUAUGAAAAAUGCAUACUGCUGCAAACUAACUAAUACGGUAUAAGAAAAAUCGAGGCACCCCACAUGUAAUCAAAAGAGAAAAUGACAAGAGAAAAUCAAGAGAUUUAAUUGUGAUUUCAAGACUUUAACAUCAUGAGCUCUCUAUAUGAUCUCAAAAUAUAUAUAUAUAUAUAUAUGUAUCAUACAUCUUCGUAGCAGGAGAUAACAUCUUCGUAGCAGAACUUCAGUAGCCACCUUCUCUUUUUCCUCUCGUGACAGUCGCCACUUUUUUCACUAACCCCUGGAUUAUCAUACAUUUGAUCUGCCCUCUCUCUGGAGGAAGCCUAGCGUUUCGGUUUUCCACCAACGUCUUGCCAUAUUCAACUUCCAUUACUUUAUAGAAAAAUUUUUGAGGUGGGAAGUACUGAGGGAUGGGAGGGAUUAAUUAUCAAGAAAUCUGUACUUGUUUAGUUUUGUUGGUGAAGAAGAGAAGAGGGAGGUGAAUUUAUAAGUGUAGAUGAAGGAAAGGGUGCCGG
RNAcentral lists this long non-coding RNA (952 nucleotides) under Coffea arabica (coffee). Its description in RNAcentral is "long non-coding RNA (CARA_LNC006169)". The record is from RNAcentral. Lineage: Eukaryota; Viridiplantae; Streptophyta; Magnoliopsida; Gentianales; Rubiaceae.